GUGUGGAAGGUGAGUCGUUAGGGCAUAUGGCUACCAACCUGAAGGUUGUGGGUUCGAUUCCCGCCUUUGCACA
Molecule: non-coding RNA, 73 nt
Organism: Massospora cicadina
Lineage: Eukaryota; Fungi; Entomophthoromycota; Entomophthoromycetes; Entomophthorales; Entomophthoraceae
Source: the annotation of a GenBank genome assembly